Molecule: long non-coding RNA, 770 nt
Organism: Acanthochromis polyacanthus (spiny chromis)
Lineage: Eukaryota; Metazoa; Chordata; Actinopteri; Pomacentridae
Exons: 2
Source: RefSeq, a predicted model, not a curated record
UUCUGGAAAACACACGCAUGAUGAAGUCACAUGAUGUCAGAGCGACAUCAGAGCGAUGUCAGGUCUUACCUCCACGUAGACGUUCAUCCCUGCCGCUGUCAGAACAUCUCUGAUCUCAGCACAGGACGGGUUCUCCACGGCCUGCAGACACAUGAACUGCAGUUCUGAGGAGGUUCUCUGGUGGAUUUUUCGGCUCUAACAGUGAUGUUCUGCUGGUGAGACGUGAUACGAACCUUCUCUGUUGGGAUCCUUCGACCUUCAGCCAGCGUCUUCUUACUGUUGAUGUAGAUCGGAUAGACGCAGAUGAACCUGGAACAAAAAGUAGAAACAUGGAUCCAUCCAUAGAUAAAUCCUCCCAGGAACUUUAUUGAAGUUUGGCACUUUUUUCUGUCUUCAAGGCCCAAUAAUUAGACUGUGUUCUCUGUUGGAUCCAUCCAGUCCUUCAGAUCUAAUAGAAACUGUUCUGGUUCUGUUCUCUGUUGGAUCCAUCCAGUCCUUCAGAUCUAAUAGAAACUGUUCUGGUUCUGUUCUCUGUUGGAUCCAUCCAGUCCUUCAGAUCUAAUAGAAACUGUUCUGGUUCUGUUCUCUCCACAUUUCAUGACUGUUGCAGUUUUAUUUCUGCAGAUAUUUAAUAUUUAAAUGGCUUUCCGUGCUUCUUUUUGAAGGUGAAAACACAAAAGUUCACAGAUUAAAUUCUAAAUUUCAUCCAAAAGUAUUUUCCAGAUGUUAGUUUUGGUUCUUAAAUAACAAAUAAACAGUUUUAGGACUCA